UACGUAGGGUGCAAGCGUUGUCCGGAAUUAUUGGGCGUAAAGAGCUCGUAGGCGGUCUGUCGCGUCGGCUGUGAAAACCCGUGGCUCAACCCCGGGCCUGCAGUCGAUACGGGCAGACUAGAGUGCGGUAGGGGAGACUGGAAUUCCUGGUGUAGCGGUGGAAUGCGCAGAUAUCAGGAGGAACACCGGUGGCGAAGGCGGGAUCCUGGGCCAGUACUGACGCUGAGGAGCGAAAGCGUGGGGAGCAAACAGG
RNAcentral lists this ribosomal RNA (253 nucleotides) under uncultured bacterium. RNAcentral's name for it is "partial 16S ribosomal RNA". It matches the Rfam family "Bacterial small subunit ribosomal RNA", at positions 524 to 776 of the family's 1533-position model. The record is from RNAcentral.